UACGGAGGAUGCGAGCGUUAUCCGGAAUCAUUGGGUUUAAAGGGUCCGUAGGCGGGCUGAUAAGUCAGAGGUGAAAGCGCUUAGCUCAACUAAGCAACUGCCUUUGAAACUGUCAGUCUUGAAUGAUUGUGAAGUAGUUGGAAUGUGUAGUGUAGCGGUGAAAUGCUUAGAUAUUACACAGAACACCGAUAGCGAAGGCAUAUUACUAACAAUUUAUUGACGCUGAUGGACGAAAGCGUGGGGAGCGAACAGG
RNAcentral lists this ribosomal RNA (253 nucleotides) under uncultured bacterium. RNAcentral's name for it is "partial 16S ribosomal RNA". It matches the Rfam family "Bacterial small subunit ribosomal RNA", at positions 524 to 776 of the family's 1533-position model. The record is from RNAcentral.